Molecule: ribosomal RNA, 463 nt
Filed under: uncultured bacterium
Lineage: Bacteria
Description: partial 16S ribosomal RNA
Rfam family: Bacterial small subunit ribosomal RNA
Source: RNAcentral
GACGAACGCUGGCGGCGUGCUUAACACAUGCAAGUCGAACGGAAAGGCCCUUCGGGGUUCACGAGUGGGGAACGGGUGAGUGAGGGGUGAGUAACCUGCCCUUCACUCUGGGAUAAGAGUUGGAAACGGCAGCUAAUACCGGAUAUUCAUCUGCUCUCGCGUUGCGUGGUUUGGGAUGUUUUGGUGGUGGAGGAUGGGCUCGCGUCGUAUCAGCUUGUUGGUGGGGUGAUGGCCUACCAAGGCGUCGACGGGUAGCCGGCCUGAGAGGGCGACCGGCCACAUUGGGACUGAGAUACGGCCCAAACUCCUACGGGAGGCAGCAAUGGGGAAUAUUGCACAAUGGGCGGAAGCCUGAUGCAGCAACGCCGCGUGCGGGAUGACGGCCUUCGGGUUGUAAACCGCUUUCAGCAGGGACGAAGCGCAAGUGACGGUACCUGCAGAAGAAGCACCGGCUAACUACGUG